AUUGAACGCUGGCGGCAGGCCUAACACAUGCAAGUCGAACGGUAACAGGAAACAGCUUGCUGUUUCGCUGACGAGUGGCGGACGGGUGAGUAAUGUCUGGGAAACUGCCUGAUGGAGGGGAAUAACUACUGGAAACGGUAGCUAAUACCGCAUAACGUCGCAAGACCAAAGAGGGGGACCCUCGGGCCUCUUGCCAUCGGAUGUGCCCAGAUGGGAUUAGCUUGUUGGUGGGGUAACGGCUCACCAAGGCGACGAUCCCUAGCUGGUCUGAGAGGAUGACCAGCCACACUGGAACUGAGACACGGUCCAGACUCCUACGGGAGGCAGCAGUGGGGAAUAUUGCACAAUGGGCGCAAGCCUGAUGCAGCCAUGCCGCGUGU
Molecule: ribosomal RNA, 380 nt
Filed under: uncultured bacterium
Lineage: Bacteria
Description: bacterial SSU rRNA
Rfam family: Bacterial small subunit ribosomal RNA
Source: RNAcentral